This 83-nucleotide transfer RNA is filed under the name Spirochaetaceae bacterium. Its description in RNAcentral is "tRNA-Leu". It matches the Rfam family "tRNA". From Rfam's summary of the family: Transfer RNA (tRNA) molecules are approximately 80 nucleotides in length. Their secondary structure includes four short double-helical elements and three loops (D, anti-codon, and T loops). The record is from RNAcentral. Lineage: Bacteria; Pseudomonadati; Spirochaetota; Spirochaetia; Spirochaetales; Spirochaetaceae.
GCCGAGGUGGUGGAAUGGUAGACACCGGGGACUUAAAAUCCCCUCCCAGCAAUGGGGUGUGAGUUCAAAUCUCAUCCUCGGCA